AUAUAUAUAUUGCAUGUUCUGAUUAUUCUGUCAAGAUUAUGAUAUUGUUUAUGCUGAGACCCUUCUCAAACAAACUCUUACUUCUGAGAAUGAAUCCCGUGAUUGUUUUCUUCUUCCAAGUUUUAAAAAGCCAAACACCUAAUUACUCUCAACUUUCUAUUUUGAUCCAUUCUUUCCAAUCCUCAAGAUUUUAAAAAUACCAGUUCUACAAAUUAAUUCGAAGUUCAGACCGUCAUUGAAGCAUGUGUUGCUCAGUGAUAGUUAGAGCCUAGAAUGAAAUGGGAUCUUCUUGAUUAUUUAACCCGCCAUUGUCAUGCUGGUUUAGCAGGCUAAAUUCAGUUGCUUAGCCGAUAAUGGAGGAUACUGAAUAGUUAGGAAUUUCCUGAACUAUGAUUUAUUAAAAGACAGACUGUGGUUUAUGAAAUGUUGAU
This 431-nucleotide long non-coding RNA is filed under the name Daucus carota (carrot). RNAcentral describes it as "long non-coding RNA (DCAR_LNC007080)". The record is from RNAcentral. Lineage: Eukaryota; Viridiplantae; Streptophyta; Magnoliopsida; Apiales; Apiaceae.